RNAcentral lists this long non-coding RNA (617 nucleotides) under Homo sapiens (human). RNAcentral describes it as "long non-coding RNA NONHSAT150712". The record is from RNAcentral. Lineage: Eukaryota; Metazoa; Chordata; Mammalia; Primates; Hominidae.
CUUGGACUCAAAGAAUAGCAGACCAACAGCAGCAAUCAGCACCACCUGGGAGCUGUUAGAAAUUCAGCAUCUCAGGCUCCAUCCCAGAUUUACUGACUCUGAAUCUGCAUUUUAACAGGACACCAGGUCAUCCGCAUGCACGUGGAAGCUUCAGAAACACAGAGUUAAACUUCGCGUAGUGGAACGGCGAGUGGUGUUCUUCUGGGUUGCCUUUGCUAGUUUGCAUGUUUUCCAACUGUCCAUGACGUCUCCACAUCAAACGCCCUCCUGAAUAGUGGCUCUCAGCUGAAUAAUUGGUCGUCUAAUGCCUAAGUUGUUAAACAAAACAAACUUUGAAAGUCAGCUUUUUUUUUUUACAAGCCUUAGCUCACAGUGGCCUUUUGCUUCCUGCUGUUUUUCUUACGUAUCCGGGCUGUUCUGUUCUGUUUCUGCGUGGCCUUUGCCUUGUAUCCACCAUUGGUAUAGCGUGGUGAUAUGCUUUCUUUCUUUGAAUUUGCUUUAAUUUUUAAUAUUAUAUAUAUGGUACCUGAGAUAUUUUGAUACAAGGAUACAAUGUGUAAUAACCACAUCAAGGUAAAUGGGGUUCCAUCACCUCAAGAAUUUAUCCUUUCUUUGUG